This is a small nuclear RNA of Choloepus didactylus (southern two-toed sloth), 107 nucleotides long. The record is from RefSeq and is a predicted model, not a curated record. Lineage: Eukaryota; Metazoa; Chordata; Mammalia; Pilosa; Megalonychidae.
GUGCUCGCUUCGGCAGCACAUACACUAAAAUUGGAACAAUACAGAUAAGAUUAGCAUGGCCCCUGUGCAAGGAUGACAUGCAAAUUUGUAAAGCAUUCCAUAUUAAA